This 1234-nucleotide long non-coding RNA is filed under the name Vigna radiata. RNAcentral's name for it is "long non-coding RNA (VRAD_LNC014213)". The record is from RNAcentral. Lineage: Eukaryota; Viridiplantae; Streptophyta; Magnoliopsida; Fabales; Fabaceae.
GUUAGCUCCCUGCUUGUCCAUGAAUUUACUUUAUUAACAUCUUUAGCUUGUCCAUAUGUCAAAAAGCUGAAUAUUCCAAGUGGUGUGGUCGGUGCCUGUUGCCUUGACCUUGCUUAUGAACAUUUCAAGGUACUUUUGANAUUUUCAUUUAAAUGUAGUUGUGUUGAUUUAAGCAUGNCCACUGAAGGUUCUAUAUGAUGUAAUAAUGAUGCAAUUGUAAUCUGAUGCGUGUUAAAUUUGAAGAUAUUUUUGGUCAUGGUGGAAUUGAUGAGUCUAAACUUUUAUAAGAUGUUGAAAGUCUUCAACAUUGUAGACAAUGAAAGUGAUCACAGGUAGACUCGAUAUUGAGCAAUUCAGCAAGUGGAGCACUGUUGAACAAAUGCAUAGGAGCAGCAAAAGAUAAUUUUAUAAAAUUCAAAUUUCAAUAUUCCCUUAUAUUAUUAAUGUGGUUGACAAGUGUGUUUAUGCUUUAUUCAAUUAGUCAUCUAUUGCUCUGUACAGCCUUGACUGAUAAUAGUAUUUUUUACUUGUAUUGCUUGAUGAAUUCUAUAUAUUCAUAUUGAGUUUUACACUGCCUUGUAUGCUAGAAUAUCUGAAAAUAUCAUUUUCCACACAAUUUGUUAUUGAAUUGACAGUGUUUAACAAUUAUUGAAUUGUACAAUUAUAGUUUAGUGCCUAUUUGUUAUAUAUCAUGUUUGUAUUCAUUAGUAUGCAGUGCCUAUUUGUUUUAUGGUAUGCUUGGAUCGAUGUGUGUUUGGUUACAUGAUUCAGAUGAAUUGUACAAUUAUUGGAAUACUAUGCAAUAAUGUCCAAUGAAAAUGGAAUUUAGUUAGUGCUUUGGCUUUUGGUAUUUGUCUGUGUCAUAGUUAGCUUUAUUGGUUGUUGCAAUAAGAUUUAUAUGCAUAGUGUGAGAAGUAUUGGUCCAUUGCAUUUUAUAUAUGGUGUAAAGUAGUAACUGCAUUUUAUAUGUUGCAUUUCAGCAAGCUCCUGAUGCAAAUGAGCCAAAGUCUCCUUUGGGUACAAGACAAUCAUCUGAUGGAAGUAACAUUUAGAAAGUUUAUGAUAUUGUUUUAGNAUAAAACUAUACCUAGUUUAUUAUGAAUUGAGUAACAUUUCUUUCUUUGUAACUACUUUUGUAAUGAGAUUACAUUGACUUUUAGUCUAUCUUGAUGUGACUAUAAAAUUGUUUCUCAAUUUAUUUUUCUAAAUUUCUUUCUAUUCAGGGGCUUUUGUU